AAUAGAUACCCUGGUAGUCCACGCCGUAAACGAUGAGUGCUAAGUGUUAGAGGGUCUCCGCCCUUUAGUGCUGAAGUUAACGCAUUAAGCACUCCGCCUGGGGAGUACGGCCGCAAGGCUGAAACUCAAAGGAAUUGACGGGGGCCCGCACAAGCGGUGGAGCAUGUGGUUUAAUUCGAAGCAACGCGAAGAACCUUACCAGGUCUUGACAUCCUCUGACAACCCUAGAGAUAGGGCUUCUCCUUCGGGAGCAGAGUGACAGGUGGUGCAUGGUUGUCGUCAGCUCGUGUCGUGAGAUGUUGGGUUAAGUCCCGCAACGAGCGCAACCCUUGAUCUUAGUUGCCAUCAUUCAGUUGGGCACUCUAAGGUGACUGCCGGUGACAAACCGGAGGAAGGUGGGGAUGACGUCAAAUCAUCAUGCCCCUUAUGACCUGGGCUACACACGUGCUACAAUGGACGGUACAAAGAGCUGCAAGACCGCGAGGUGGAGCUAAUCUCAUAAAACCCGUUCUCAGUUCGGAUUGUAGG
This 528-nucleotide ribosomal RNA is filed under the name uncultured bacterium. RNAcentral's name for it is "bacterial SSU rRNA". It matches the Rfam family "Bacterial small subunit ribosomal RNA", at positions 777 to 1304 of the family's 1533-position model. The record is from RNAcentral.